RNAcentral lists this ribosomal RNA (253 nucleotides) under uncultured bacterium. RNAcentral describes it as "partial 16S ribosomal RNA". It matches the Rfam family "Bacterial small subunit ribosomal RNA", at positions 524 to 776 of the family's 1533-position model. The record is from RNAcentral.
UACAGAGGUCCCAAGCGUUGUUCGGAUUCAUUGGGCGUAAAGGGUGUGUAGGUGGCGCCGUAAGUCGGGUGUGAAAUUUCGGAGCUUAACUCCGAAACUGCAUUCGAUACUGCGGUGCUUGAGGACUGGAGAGGAGACUGGAAUUCAUGGUGUAGCAGUGAAAUGCGUAGAGAUCAUGAGGAAGACCAGUGGCGAAGGCGGGUCUCUGGACAGUUCCUGACACUGAGACACGAAGGCCAGGGGAGCAAACAGG